This 374-nucleotide ribosomal RNA is filed under the name uncultured organism. Its description in RNAcentral is "bacterial SSU rRNA". It matches the Rfam family "Bacterial small subunit ribosomal RNA", at positions 526 to 896 of the family's 1533-position model. The record is from RNAcentral.
CGGGGGGAGCGAGCGUUGUUCGGAUUUACUGGGCGUAAAGGGCGCGUAGGCGGCCACCGCAAGUCGACUGUGAAAUCUCCGGGCUUAACCCGGAAAGGUCAGCCGAUACUGCGGGGCUAGAGUGCAGAAGGGGCAACUGGAAUUCUCGGUGUAGCGGUGAAAUGCGUAGAUAUCGAGAGGAACACCUGCGGCGAAGGCGGGUUGCUGGGCUGACACUGACGCUGAUGCGCGAAAGCUAGGGGAGCGAACGGGAUUAGAUACCCCGGUAGUCCUAGCCUUAAACGAUGAAUGCUUGGUGUCUGGGGUUUUAUAGUCCCCGGGUGCCGUCGCUAACGCUUUAAGCAUUCCGCCUGGGGAGUACGGUCGCAAGACUG